UUGUAGGUCAUUUACCUAGUGGAGAUUCAAAUAUUUGAUAGCUAAUAAUUUUUUUUUUAAUUUUAAAAAUAUCAUUUUUAGUUAUUUUCAUAUGUUUUACCACUGCACUAUCAUUGAACUUGCUCUAUCCCAUAAAUUGUAAAACAAAUUUACAGAGUUAGAUAAAUUAUAUAUUUGAACAUGGCAACACAAAAUGACCAAAAAAAAUUACGACAUAGGAAUUGGGAUAAUGUUGAAAGAGACGAGUUCAAUGAGCGGUAGGUUUUGUAUGCAACAAAAAGAAGAAACAAUAGCCUCAAA
Molecule: long non-coding RNA, 300 nt
Filed under: Gossypium raimondii (Peruvian cotton)
Lineage: Eukaryota; Viridiplantae; Streptophyta; Magnoliopsida; Malvales; Malvaceae
Description: long non-coding RNA (GRAI_LNC009082)
Source: RNAcentral